UUUUCCCACAAUUUUUGAGGUUUUUCCUGGUUUUUCCCUGCAGUUUUUUGGCAUUUUUUCCUGGAUUUUUUGGGGAUUUUUUCCUGGAUUUUGGGGCUUUUCUUCCUGUUUUCUUUUUGGGAUUUUCCCCCAGUUUUUUGGGAUUUUUUCCCCAGAUUUUGGGAUUUUUCCCACAGUUUUUUGGCAUUUUUUCCUGGAUUUUUGGGGCUUUUUUUCCUGGAUUUUUUUUGGGAUUUUGCCACAGUUUUUUUGGGUUUUUUCCCAGAUUUUUGGGGGAUUUUGCCACAGUCUUUUUUUAUUUUUUCCCCUCAUUUCCAGGCGAGGAUCUCAGCGGUCGCCAGCCGGGCGAGGCUCCGGAACUCCACGCUCAGGAGGCGCCUCCAGAACCUUCGGUCGCGGCCGAACACCUGAGCGGGGAAACGGGGAGAGCCUGGGGAGAGGGGAAAUCAGAGAAAUCAGCAAAAUCAUCAAAAUCCCAAAUUAACAAAAAACCCAAAUCC
RNAcentral lists this long non-coding RNA (500 nucleotides) under Zonotrichia albicollis (white-throated sparrow). RNAcentral describes it as "lncRNA (ENSZALG00000003156.1)". Lineage: Eukaryota; Metazoa; Chordata; Aves; Passeriformes; Passerellidae. The record is from RNAcentral.